Oryzias melastigma (Indian medaka) is the source of this 352-nucleotide long non-coding RNA. RefSeq lists it as uncharacterized. The record is from RefSeq and is a predicted model, not a curated record. The transcript has 3 exons. NCBI's taxonomy places the organism in Eukaryota, Metazoa, Chordata, Actinopteri, Beloniformes, Adrianichthyidae.
CAGAUAGAUGUUCAUAUGGACCAAUGGGUAGAAACAUCGAUAAAAAUAAGAGUGAAAAAUGAAAAGGUCACAAAAGAUCACAGAUUAAGAAGCAGCAGACAUCAGAGUCCACAGAGAGUUCUCCAAAUCAAGCUGUUCCCACCUGACUUGCUGCUCCAUGGCCUGAAUAAGAUGCCGACGUCUCCUUUGAUGGGUGAGUGCUAGUGCGGUGGCAGAAAUUUUAAUUUAUCUGAUGUAAAAGCAAAGCUACUGUUCUCAUCCAUCACCUUUUAAUUUUUAGUUACUUAUUGCUCAAGUUUGUUUAUUCACAUAAUUAUGAUUUAAUGGAAACUGUGUAAUUUCAAUAUUGUUU